UGAAGGUCAAUGGUUACCAGUU
RNAcentral lists this microRNA (22 nucleotides) under Danio rerio (zebrafish). RNAcentral's name for it is "dre-miR-7146-3p". The record is from miRBase by way of RNAcentral. Lineage: Eukaryota; Metazoa; Chordata; Actinopteri; Cypriniformes; Danionidae.